GGCCCUUCGAGGCGCGCAGCGAGUUCGAGCAGAUGACGAUCCUCUACGACAUCUGGAACGCGGGGCUGGAUGCCGAGGACAUGCACUUCCUGCGGCUCACCUACGAGCGCCUGCUGCAGGAGGACAACAGCACCGACUGGCUCAACGACACCCACUGGGUGCACCACACCGAUAUCCCUGUGCCGGGGCGGAUGGGGAGGCCGGGGGGCGCCGGGAUGUCCGGGUCUUGGAGGGUGGAGACGUCCAGGUGUUGGGGAUAUGGAGGACUGGGAUGUUCAGGUCUUGGAGAAUUGGGGUGUCCAGGUGUUGGAGACCUGGGGUGUUUGGGUGUCGAGAUGCUCAGGUGUUGGAGAAUGGAGACAUCCAGGUGUUGGAGGCGUGUGGUGUCCAGGUGUUGGGGAUAUGGAGGAUUGGGUUGUCCAGGUGUUGGAGGCCUGCGGUGUCAAGAUGUCAGGAGAUGGGGUGUCGGGAUGUUUGGGUCUUGGAGGAUGGAGACGUCCAGGUGUUGAGGGACUGGGGUGUCCGGGUGUCGGGAGACGGGGCGUCAGGAUGUUCAGGUGUUGGAGGACUGGGUUGUCCAGGUGUUGGGGAUAUGGAAGAUUGGGAUGUUCAGGUCUUGGAGAAUGGAGACGUCCAGGUGUUGAGAGACUGGGGUGUCCGGGUGUUGGGGAUAUGGAGGACUGGGAUUGUCAGGUCUUGGAAAAUGAUGGCGUCCGGGUGUUUGCGGAUGGGUCUCUGGGUGUUUGUAGACAGGGUUUCUGGGUGCUGGGGGAUGGAGGUGUCUGGGCGUUGGGGGAUGGAGGUGUCCGGGUGUUUGGGGACAAGGUGUCCGGGCGUUGGGGGAUGGAGGUGUGCAGGUGUUUUGGGGACGAGGUGUCUGGGCGUUGGGGGAUGGAGGUGUCCGGGUGUUUGGGGA
Molecule: long non-coding RNA, 916 nt
Filed under: Apteryx owenii (little spotted kiwi)
Lineage: Eukaryota; Metazoa; Chordata; Aves; Apterygiformes; Apterygidae
Description: lncRNA (ENSAOWG00000005619.1)
Source: RNAcentral